RNAcentral lists this ribosomal RNA (219 nucleotides) under uncultured bacterium. RNAcentral describes it as "partial 16S ribosomal RNA". It matches the Rfam family "Bacterial small subunit ribosomal RNA", at positions 524 to 741 of the family's 1533-position model. The record is from RNAcentral.
UACGUAGGGUGCAAGCGUUUAAUCGGAAUUACUGGGCGUAAAGCGUGCGCAGGCGGUGAUGUAAGACAGGUGUGAAAUCCCCGGGCUUAACCUGGGAACUGCAUUUGUGACUGCAUCGCUGGAGUGCGGCAGAGGGGGAUGGAAUUCCGCGUGUAGCAGUGAAAUGCGUAGAUAUGCGGAGGAACACCGAUGGCGAAGGCAAUCCCCUGGGCCUGCACU